Aquila chrysaetos chrysaetos is the source of this 392-nucleotide long non-coding RNA. RefSeq lists it as uncharacterized. The record is from RefSeq and is a predicted model, not a curated record. Lineage: Eukaryota; Metazoa; Chordata; Aves; Accipitriformes; Accipitridae. The transcript is spliced from 2 exons.
GCAAAUGGUCCUGCAUAUUUUUUUCAGUCAGAGCCAGACAAGGGGAAAGAGGAGAGGAGUGCUGUUGAAAUCUGAUUUGCAGAAAAGGCAAGUGGUGCAGUGACAGCAAAAUAAAUUCAAUUCACAGACUCCUGUUAUCUUUGGGAUCUUUGGAUCAGUUCUUACACCCUCCCAGUCUCAUUCAUCACUUCUGAGGAUGAAGUCCUAAAUACCUGCCGUGGUCGAAACUGUUCUGACAUCAUCUUCUGAAUGCGGUGACUUCAAGCACAUGAAAUCAUGAGGUUAAUGCCAUAGUCAAGACUUCAACCAAAGCUCUUUCUGCAAACCUGAGCUGAUUUUUUUGAAAAUGCCAUGGUAGUUGCUAGUGCUUAACCAACAGAAGAAUUACCAAA